Molecule: long non-coding RNA, 564 nt
Organism: Papaver somniferum (opium poppy)
Lineage: Eukaryota; Viridiplantae; Streptophyta; Magnoliopsida; Ranunculales; Papaveraceae
Exons: 2
Source: RefSeq, a predicted model, not a curated record
UUUUAUUUUCUUCUUAUUCAUUCUUUUUAUUUCUUUAUCUCUCCAUUUUCUUCUCCUUCCUUCCUCUCGCUCUUUGUCCUUCAUCUUGAUUUGUUUUGAGAGAAGUUUUAAGUGUUGAGUUAAGAUGAAUUGGUGAUGAAGUAGAAUCGAUGGGGAAUCAGUUGUUGCUUCUAUGGAUUACAAAGAUAAAGAAGAAGAAUAUGAUUCUGUGAAUCUGGAAGAGAGUUAAGAGUUAGGGUUGUUGAUUUUGUGUUGAACCGAGAGUGAUAUCGAGUUGUAAUAAUUGGAGAUUAAGAGGGUUGUCGAUGAAUUGAGGAGAUGAAGCUAUUCUGAUGAAGAAAUAAAAGAAAAGUUAGUCUUUAUUAACAACGAUCUAUUCAAAAGAUGAACCGGUGGAUUGAGAAUCUUGAGGUAGGCGAGGCUUGUCUUCAAAACAGGUGGGAACUCUUGUAACUCUCUUGUAAUCAUUAAUUUACUUUGAAUGGAGAGUAUGAUGUGUCUUAUUAUUUUUGAGCAUGUUUGAAUGUAAUUAUAUGUUCGUAUGCAAUACAUGUUUGAGUGUCA